Molecule: ribosomal RNA, 475 nt
Filed under: uncultured bacterium
Lineage: Bacteria
Description: SSU rRNA
Rfam family: Bacterial small subunit ribosomal RNA
Source: RNAcentral
AGAAUCAACGCUGGCGGCGUGCCUAACACAUGCAAGUCGAACGAGAAAGUGGAGCAAUCCAUGAGUAGAGUGGCGUACGGGUGAGUAACACGUGACUAACCUUCCUUCGAGUGGGGAAUAACCUCGGGAAACCAGGGCUAAUACCGCAUAACAUCACCGGGUGAAAUUCCCGAUGAUCAAAGGGGUAAGACGCUUGAAGAGGGGGUCGCGGCUGAUUAGUUAGUUGGCGGGGUAAUGGCCCACCAAGACGAUGAUCAGUAGCCGGCCUGAGAGGGCGCACGGCCACACUGGGACUGAAACACGGCCCAGACUCCUACGGGAGGCAGCAGUGGGGAAUUUUGCGCAAUGGGGGAAACCCUGACGCAGCAACGCCGCGUGGAGGAUUAAGUCCCUUGGGAUGUAAACUCCUUUCGACGGGGAAGAACUGACGGUACCCGUAGAACGAAGCCCCGGCUAACUUCGUGCCAGCAGCCGC